UAUACUCUGCCACUUUACU
RNAcentral lists this microRNA (19 nucleotides) under Macaca mulatta (Rhesus monkey). RNAcentral's name for it is "mml-miR-4796-5p". Lineage: Eukaryota; Metazoa; Chordata; Mammalia; Primates; Cercopithecidae. The record is from miRBase by way of RNAcentral.